GCAAACUUGGUCAUUUAGAGGAAGUAAAAGUCGUAACAAGGUUUCCGUAGGUGAACCUGCGGAAGGAUCAUUAUUGAAUUAAUGGAUUUGGGUUGUUGCUGGCUUCUAAGGGAGCAUCUGUGCAUGCACUGUGCACACCCAUGUCCUUCUUUCUUUACACCCCGUGUGCACUUGUGUAGUUCCAAACACGUUUCAAACCAACAACCCAGCUUGGGGGGGCGGAUUUGGAAUAGAGAAAUUGCAGUGCAUUAUGACAUCCGUGUUAUGAUGGCCAUUCCUGCUUUUCUUGAUUUGGGUCUACGCUUUCUUAAACCUCAAUAAACAUCCAAUGUGCAAAAAAAAAAAAAGAACGGAAAUAUUGAAUGAAACAACUUUCAACAACGGAUCUCUAGGCUCUCGCAUCGAUGAAGAACGCAGC
Molecule: unclassified non-coding RNA, 418 nt
Filed under: uncultured fungus
Lineage: Eukaryota; Fungi
Description: partial contains small subunit ribosomal RNA, internal transcribed spacer 1, and 5.8S ribosomal RNA
Rfam family: Eukaryotic small subunit ribosomal RNA (bases 1-73)
Source: RNAcentral